GGGUGCGAUCAUACCAGCACUAAUACACCGGAUCCCAUCAGAACUCCGAAGUUAAGCGUGUUUGGGCGAGAGUAGUACUAGGAUGGCGAGAGUAGUAUUAGAAUGGUGACCC
Molecule: ribosomal RNA, 112 nt
Filed under: Genlisea aurea
Lineage: Eukaryota; Viridiplantae; Streptophyta; Magnoliopsida; Lamiales; Lentibulariaceae
Source: RNAcentral